GGCAGAGUGGCUCAGGUGGUAAGAGCACAUGCCUAGCAAGCAAGAGGCCCUGAGUUCAAACCCCAGUUCUGCCU
Molecule: non-coding RNA, 74 nt
Organism: Castor canadensis (American beaver)
Lineage: Eukaryota; Metazoa; Chordata; Mammalia; Rodentia; Castoridae
Source: the annotation of a RefSeq genome assembly